GGGAAUUCACCUUGCGUACCCUAC
This 24-nucleotide non-coding RNA is filed under the name Arabidopsis thaliana (thale cress). Lineage: Eukaryota; Viridiplantae; Streptophyta; Magnoliopsida; Brassicales; Brassicaceae. The record is from RNAcentral.